This is a long non-coding RNA of Corvus hawaiiensis (hawaiian crow), 282 nucleotides long. RefSeq lists it as uncharacterized. The record is from RefSeq and is a predicted model, not a curated record. NCBI's taxonomy places the organism in Eukaryota, Metazoa, Chordata, Aves, Passeriformes, Corvidae. The transcript is spliced from 2 exons.
GAAUCUCCUCCCUACACCUUUCUUUCCAAAUCAAACACCCUCAGGACUUGCAGACUUUGCCGGGGUCGAUAAAUGCCAGAUCAUUUUACUGCACUGUAAGCCAGCAGACUUGGGGACAGAGAAGGAUCCCACAGGACUGGGAAAUAGUGCCUUUUGCUUAAGCCCAAGGAUUCCUUUCAUUUGCCUCCCAUGAAGACAGAUGUUGUUCCAGCUUCCACUGCCAUCUCAGUGGGUAAGACAUGAGCUUCCCUGGUGAAUAAAAACAAGUUGGAAAAUUUUUAA